This 20-nucleotide small nuclear RNA is filed under the name Arabidopsis thaliana (thale cress). RNAcentral describes it as "snRNA_07980". The record is from RNAcentral. Lineage: Eukaryota; Viridiplantae; Streptophyta; Magnoliopsida; Brassicales; Brassicaceae.
UAGUGUUCAAACCUAACGAG